CUGUAGCUGUUAGGGUUUGCAUAGCUGUGGGCAGGCAGGCAUGGCCCGUGUCACUGCCAUCAUCCUUUGUGUGAUGGAGGAAAGUGUCUCUGUUUGCUGCUUGGCCUGGGCAAACCUGGUUUUAACAGCAAGGUACAAAUGAAGUGCUACAGGAAAUUACUGGAUUCUAAUUAAGAGAAGAGUCUGAGGAACUGGCUGCAGAGGCAACCCCUGUGAGCUGAGCAGGUUUCCUUCUUCUCCUGACUAAAAGAAGAGCAAAGCAGAGGAGACACGAUGUGGAGGAAUUCAGAAUGAUAAGAAAAAUCAAAAUUUUCUCUGCUUCAGCCUGAGAAGAAAAUAUGUUCUCAUUUACUGCACUCGUACGUACCUCCAUCACAUUUCAGCACCACAAACUGGAAAAGAAUGAAGUCAGUUGUCAGGACAUUGGAGCCAAAAAUAAGGAAAAAAUAGGAGUUAUGACUCAAAUAGUUGAAAAGUGGGUAGCAAUCUGAUAAAUUCUGGGGCAAAUCAAAGGAAAGCCAAUACAGAACUGAAGUUAGGAAGGGAUUAGGAAAAGAUUAUAAAAUUCAUGGUAAUCAAUGUAAAACUGCCUUGUGAACUAAUUGCAGUGUAAUUUGGGUAAGGUAGUGUCUGUUUGAUUGCUAAAGUUUUUGAUAUCAAUUUAAACAUACACCUAUUGAAAUUUCAUUAAGACAUGAUAUUGUUCCAUAUGAUGUUCUGAGUAAAAAAAACCCAAAACAUCCAUGCUCUAGCAAUAUAAGACAAUAACAAUAAAUAAAAGCAUCAAGGUAAUUGCAAUCUGGCUGAUAGUCAUGCUUUCUAAAGCAAUUGUAAAUGAAGAGGCAUUCACAAUUGAUGUUCCUGAGCAAUAUACCAAAGGGCUCAUUCUUUGAGGCUUGGAGUACUCAGUUGCUUGGGUUUUGACCUAGGAACACACGACUUAUUUCAUUAGACAAAGACAGUGAUGAUGAUGAUGCAACCAGAGAUGAAGUAAUAAAUGACAAUGUCAAGGACAGGCGAAUUCUUUAGCAUCUUCUGCAUUGUCUGCAAACCAAUCUGAUCCCCAAAAUUUGAAUCCUCAGCCAAAUUCAAGGUGCUGACAGACCAAAGAUGUGCUUUUAUAGCUGUGCUAUUUGUCUGGGAGAUUGUGUUUUGGAAACCAGUGACUCAUGCUUGUUUAUAAUGGACAGUCAGCUAAACACACACUCCCUGUGUGAUACAGUGUACCUGAAAGCAAAUGUUACUGUCUCUGAUCAGAGCAGAUUGCCGGGUAAAGGUCAAGGAGGUGAUAUUUCCAUGUGUACGCAUUAAUGAGACCAUUUCUGAAAUGUUUAUGGUUUUAAAAGGAUUUUGACAGAUGGGCAGAGAACAGAGACUGCAUGAGCUGCAUGAUCAUAGGCUGAACUGUGCUGUCUAAAGAGAGGCAAGAGAAUCUAAAUCAAUUUUUUUUGUCAGAGAUGAUAUUUUAUAUUUGUCCACUAACAACUGAAAGCAGGGAGAGAAUUCAUAAUGGCAGAUUAUCUCUGGACAUCACAAGGUGGUUAGGUGCUGGAAGUGGACAAACACAGCUUAGAAAAUGGGCAACUAAAAACGCCUUUUGCUUUCAGUGUCAGCAACUGACCACUUAACCCAGGAUGCAGGGUUUGCCUGUUACAUGAAGUAAGCAUUGAAUCCUUUUCUAAAAAAUACAAUUCUGGUAAACAAGAGCUUGUGGUAAAGGCACAAGAGCUUGUGGUAAAGGCACAAGUGAAAACACAGUGAGUGUGAUAUUCAAGCAGGCCAGGCUAAGUGAAUUCAUGGCUUUCAGAGGCUCUGGACAGGACUGAUUUCUCCCAUGUCCAGUAGUCUGUGUUCAGAUCACUUUGCCAUUCCUCUUGUGCGCUAAGCAGGCAGGAUAGACCCCUGUCUCCAUAGCUUAGGGCUUUCCCUUGGGGAAGGGUGCCUUGUGCUCAGAGUGUGACAAGACCCAGGGCAGCAAAGGGUCACUGGGGUGGUUCUGUGGUAGCAGUGUGGGGGCCCUAAUGGAGGAAGGUCUGGCCCUAUUGAUGCUUUAGACUAUUCUAGUGAUGAAAUUCCCUGGAGGGGAAAGCCAGACUUUGGCUCAGUAUCACAAAAGGUCAUUCAAAACACAAACAAGGAUGAAUUACAGAUCUAAUAAUAAUUUUCACCUCGUGGCUACCAAUUAUUUGGGUCUGCAGCCAGGAUGUUACUAUUGGGUUUGUCUCAUUUCUGAACACUGCAAGUACUGAGCAAAGGUGAAGGUUUUCACAGUUUUGGAGCUGUGGGCAGGCUUUUAAGAAGAAUGUGAAAGGACAAAGUUCUUAAUAAAAAGGAUGGGGUUUUUUUGCGUGCCCAUGAGGCACUGAAUUUUUGCAUCAGAAC
This is a long non-coding RNA of Parus major (Great Tit), 2382 nucleotides long. RefSeq lists it as uncharacterized. The record is from RefSeq and is a predicted model, not a curated record. The transcript has 4 exons. Lineage: Eukaryota; Metazoa; Chordata; Aves; Passeriformes; Paridae.